GAGGAAGCAAAGCGAAUCCAUCAUCACCACUACCAGAAAAUGAUUCCAGCUCUGGAUAUCCACCAUGGAUGCCGAAACUUUCAAGAAAUGGGAGUCUGUUGAGUCCCCAUUCUGACAGGGGCUUCAGCUGUAAGUUUUCUCCUGCCGCUAUGUGAAGAAACUUCAGACUGGGAGGAAAAUCUCCUUGUGGAAAUAACAAAGGACUUGAACAAGAAGACAAGAACAGAGAUCUUAGUCUUCCCAACCCACUGGGCAAGUAACUAACAUUUUUGCAUCUGACCAAGGAAACACGUUCCAAACUUGGAGUGGGCAAUUGAUCCAGAUGAUGAUCACAAUCGCUAAUAGACAAAGACCGGAGACUUGCAAAACUGUAGACUGAACCAAGCAUUGUUCUCAAAUUCAGACAUGGGCAGCCAACGAUUUGCAGACUCUCAAUCGAUGUGCUGGUGUCCUCUAUGACAAUCUCCGGAGUAAGGUUCAGUUUCUGGCAAUGUCUGAUCCCAAGAUGCCUAAGCUGAGGGAGGAGCAACUUGUCC
Molecule: long non-coding RNA, 536 nt
Filed under: Coffea arabica (coffee)
Lineage: Eukaryota; Viridiplantae; Streptophyta; Magnoliopsida; Gentianales; Rubiaceae
Description: long non-coding RNA (CARA_LNC001762)
Source: RNAcentral